GUGGAAACAGGAAGUUAUGUUGUCUUCGGGAGGAUGGACUACAUGAAUCCGGCGGCCGCUGACGCCGAGACGCAUAAGCGUCUCCACGCAGGGCUGAAUAGUUAGAAAAGGCCUCGCUCAAAGCCCUGUCCAUGGUGCUGAAGCACAGCCAGCGGCGCACAACACUCAACCUCUGAGCGCUCGGAUGUUUUCAACCACAACAGGACUUCUGCCAGAACUAUUAUCAGGCCGGUGCAGAGGAUCAGAUAGUCAUACUGCACUUUACCAUUCUCCAUCAACUCCACGUGUUUGGCCUCACGAUCGAUGGCCUUCA
Long non-coding RNA from Labeo rohita (rohu), 313 nucleotides. RefSeq lists it as uncharacterized. The transcript has 3 exons. NCBI's taxonomy places the organism in Eukaryota, Metazoa, Chordata, Actinopteri, Cypriniformes, Cyprinidae. The record is from RefSeq and is a predicted model, not a curated record.